GGCUGCCAUGACAAGGGCAGCUUUUCUCUACCAGGCCAUUUUUUCUUUCACCAUGCCAUUUCUGCCUGAGAGCUGACGAAGCAAGGACCGAACCCACUGAAAGUGCUUGGGUUCAAAACCCAAAGCUACCAGUUACCAACUGUGUGUCACUGGGACACUGCAAUUCCAAGAUGGAGCAGCCAUUCCUACUUUCCUCACAUAUUGGAUGAAGCCCAAUUGAUUGCUUCUUAGCUGACAAUACAAGUUCAGUUCAGGCUCCCAAGUCCAGGGGACCAUCUCUGCUGCCCACUGAAUCCAGAUCUGAAGUUCGGCCCCUCCUCAGAUUGCCCCAAAGAAUCCACUCAGAAAACUAAAAGUGAAGAAUGAGAAUUUCAUUGAGGAUUUCAGAGAGAAGACAGCACAUGCUCUCCAGGAAGCUGCAUUAGAAGCCACACUAAAUGACCUCUACUUACUCACAUAAUGGAUAAAUCCACGCUAUAGAUACCCAAACACUGAUUAUCACCAACCUUGCUUGUGGCAGUUGUACUGCUAUCAUGGUUAUGUAAUUUAACUCAUUAUAAACAGACAAAAUAUAAACAUAAAAUCCAGCUGUCACUUCUAUCAAAAUUCAGUUGAAUUCUUUGUACAUACUUGAUAAAGGUACACUUUUAGAGAAAUUACUGUCAGAUUUGAUCUCAAAAGAAGAUCACUAUAAAAGAUAAGGGGUUAACAGUAAACUUCUGGAAGGAUUCUAUACUGAGAUUGCUUCUCAAGUUUCUUUUAUAUCAGUGCUGCAAUUUUAAAAAUAACAUAAAAACUAGAAUUCACACAUAAUGAUGCAUCAUGAAAUGCCAAGUAUAAGAAAGAUUAAGUAUUCCAAUCACAGACACUUAGCUAGAAAAAGACCUUGACCAGACAUCAAAUGAUGAGUAAAUGAACACAUACUUCAUGUGUCUUAGGUUAAAAUAAACUGUAUAAAUGUGUUUUUUAUGAUGUUCUGAUUUAACCUUUUUUUUUUUCAUUAACUGUGUAACUGCUCCUGUCACAUCAGAUUACACAAUUGACAGGCCCGAAUGAUUUUUCAGAGCCUAUAUUCUUAACCAGGAAUUUGUGGAUAGGCUUCAAAGAGCAAAGCACUGAAUUCAUGUAUGCAAAACACUGCAUCCAUGGGGCAUGUGACUGUUUAGGAGAAAGUUCCUAUCACUAUCAUUUAUGAGAAAAGGAAAAACAUGGAAACAAAGUCUUUGUAAAUAGGGAAGGGUGGAGGGGGUGAAGGGAGGGCAGGGGAAUGGGAAAAAAAUAAGAACCAAGAUACAUCAUGUAAAGGUACAAGAUCCCAAUGAUGAAUAUAACUAUAUUGUAUACCUAAAAUGUACCAAUAAACUAAAUGGAAAAAAAAGUGAUCUCCUAAAAAGCUACUAGACUGCUGCCUUAACAGGGUGACCGAUUU
This is a long non-coding RNA of Heterocephalus glaber (naked mole-rat), 1429 nucleotides long. The record is from Ensembl. NCBI's taxonomy places the organism in Eukaryota, Metazoa, Chordata, Mammalia, Rodentia, Bathyergidae.